Molecule: microRNA precursor, 70 nt
Filed under: Bombyx mori (domestic silkworm)
Lineage: Eukaryota; Metazoa; Arthropoda; Insecta; Lepidoptera; Bombycidae
Description: mir-2774 microRNA precursor family
Rfam family: mir-2774 microRNA precursor family
Source: Rfam by way of RNAcentral
ACAAUAUUUGAACCGUCGUCGGUCUGCCGAGCAAUUUCACCAGUUCGGUGGAAGAUCUCCCCUUCGUCGU